CAGCAGCCGCGGGAAUACGUAGGAUGCGAGCGUUAAUCGGAAUUACUGGGCGUAAAGCGUGCGCAGGCGGUUGUGUAAGACAGGUGUGAAAUCCCCGGGCUUAACCUGGGAACUGCGCUUGUGACUGCACAGCUAGAGUAUGGCAGAGGGGGGUGGAAUUCCACGUGUAGCAGUGAAAUGCGUAGAGAUGUGGAGGAACACCGAUGGCGAAGGCAGCCCCCUGGGCCAAUACUGACGCUCAUGCACGAAAGCGUGGGGGGCAAACAGGAUUAGAUACCCCAGUAGUCCCUGUCUCUUAUAC
RNAcentral lists this ribosomal RNA (301 nucleotides) under uncultured bacterium. RNAcentral describes it as "partial 16S ribosomal RNA". It matches the Rfam family "Bacterial small subunit ribosomal RNA", at positions 509 to 807 of the family's 1533-position model. The record is from RNAcentral.